Molecule: ribosomal RNA, 292 nt
Filed under: uncultured bacterium
Lineage: Bacteria
Description: partial 16S ribosomal RNA
Rfam family: Bacterial small subunit ribosomal RNA
Source: RNAcentral
GUGUCAGCAGCCGCGGUAAUACGAAGGGUGCAAACGUUGCUCGGAAUCAUUGGGCGUAAAGCGCACGUAGGCGGCCUCGCAAGUCGGAUGUGAAAUCCCUCGGCUCAACCGAGGACGUGCACCCGAAACUGCGGGGCUUGAGUACUGAAGAGGAUCGCGGAAUUCCCGGUGUAGAGGUGAAAUUCGUAGAUAUCGGGAGGAACACCAGUGGCGAAGGCGGCGAUCUGGGCAGAUACUGACGCUGAGGUGCGAAAGCGUGGGGAGCAAACAGGAUUAGAAACCCGCGUAGUCC